UACAUUGUGUAACUGUACUAUGUGAACGAUUGUACUUUUAGAACACGUGCGCAUUUGCAUAAUGGUACAUCAGAUGAUGGGUUGUAAUUAGUCAUAAAAACAUCUGUCAGAUCUGAGAAAAACAACUGAUUUCGUUUUAUAUUAUAGGACCAGAUUGAAUCAGACAAAUACUGGUAAAGGUCUUAAGAUUACCGACACUUCUAUCGAUUGCUGAGAAUUGUGUUUGAAGUGCUGAAAUAAAGACAGAGGGCGUAGUAGCCAUGUGAUGAAGACACAAUCAUCUUCCAAUUUCAAGACAAAUGGUUCAAAUCCUGCGAGAUCAAGAUCAGGAAAAAACAAAG
Long non-coding RNA from Anneissia japonica, 341 nucleotides. RefSeq lists it as uncharacterized. Lineage: Eukaryota; Metazoa; Echinodermata; Crinoidea; Comatulida; Comatulidae. The transcript is spliced from 3 exons. The record is from RefSeq and is a predicted model, not a curated record.